RNAcentral lists this ribosomal RNA (486 nucleotides) under uncultured bacterium. Its description in RNAcentral is "partial 16S ribosomal RNA". It matches the Rfam family "Bacterial small subunit ribosomal RNA", at positions 30 to 507 of the family's 1533-position model. The record is from RNAcentral.
AUUGAACGCUGGCGGCAUGCCUUACACAUGCAAGUCGAACGGCAGCACGGGUGCUUGCACCUGGUGGCGAGUGGCGAACGGGUGAGUAAUACAUCGGAACAUGUCCUGUAGUGGGGGAUAGCCCGACGAAAGCCGGAUUAAUACCGCAUACGAUCUACGGAUGAAAGCGGGGGACCUUCGGGCCUCGCGCUAUAGGGUUGGCCGAUGGCUGAUUAGCUAGUUGGUGGGGUAAAGGCCUACCAAGGCGACGAUCAGUAGCUGGUCUGAGAGGACGACCAGCCACACUGGGACUGAGGCACGGCCCAGACUCCUACGGGAGGCAGCAGUGGGGAAUUUUGGACAAUGGGCGAAAGCCUGAUCCAGCAAUGCCGCGUGUGUGAAGAAGGCCUUCGGGUUGUAAAGCACUUUUGUCCGGAAAGAAAUCCUUGGCCCUAAUACGGUCGGGGGAUGACGGUACCGGAAGAAUAAGCACCGGCUAACUACGUG